This 408-nucleotide ribosomal RNA is filed under the name uncultured bacterium. RNAcentral describes it as "partial 16S ribosomal RNA". It matches the Rfam family "Bacterial small subunit ribosomal RNA", at positions 28 to 526 of the family's 1533-position model. The record is from RNAcentral.
GACGAACGCUGGCGGCGUGCUUAACACAUGCAAGUCGAACGGAGUGGCGAACGGGUGAGUAACACGUGGGUGACCUGCCCUGCACUUCGGGAUAAGCCUGGGAAACUGUGUCUAAUACCGGUUAGUGUGGGAUGGGCCCGCGGCCUAUCUGCUUGUUGGUGGGGGAAUGGCCUACCCAGGCGGCGACGGGUAGCCGGACUGAGAGGGUGGACGGCCACAUUGGGACUGAGACACGGCCCAGUCGCGUAGGGUAGGCAGCAGGGGGGAAUAUUGCACAAUGAGGGGGAGCCUGAUGAGGAGACGCGGGGUGGGUGAUGACGGCCUUCGGGUUGUAAACUCCUUUAACCAUAGACGCGGUAGAUGGAGAAGAAGCGCCGGCUAACUACGUGCCAGCAGCCGCGGUAAUUC